This 548-nucleotide ribosomal RNA is filed under the name uncultured bacterium. Its description in RNAcentral is "bacterial SSU rRNA". It matches the Rfam family "Bacterial small subunit ribosomal RNA", at positions 355 to 896 of the family's 1533-position model. The record is from RNAcentral.
UGGGGAAUUUUGGACAAUGGGCGCAAGCCUGAUCCAGCCAUGCCGCGUGCGGGAAGAAGGCCUUCGGGUUGUAAACCGCUUUUGUCAGGGAAGAAAUCUUCUGGGUUAAUACCUCGGGAGGAUGACGGUACCUGAAGAAUAAGCACCGGCUAACUACGUGCCAGCAGCCGCGGUAAUACGUAGGGUGCAAGCGUUAAUCGGAAUUACUGGGCGUAAAGCGUGCGCAGGCGGUUAUGCAAGACAGAUGUGAAAUCCCCGGGCUCAACCUGGGAAUUGCAUUUGUGACUGCAUGGCUAGAGUGCGGCAGAGGGGGAUGGAAUUCCGCGUGUAGCAGUGAAAUGCGUAGAUAUGCGGAGGAACACCGAUGGCGAAGGCAAUCCCCUGGGCCUGCACUGACGCUCAUGCACGAAAGCGUGGGGAGCAAACAGGAUUAGAUACCCUGGUAGUCCACGCCCUAAACGAUGUCAACUGGUUGUUGGGAAGGUUCCUUCUCAGUAACGUAGCUAACGCGUGAAGUUGACCGCCUGGGGAGUACGGCCGCAAGGUUG